AGCCUCCUGGUGCUAACCACAGGCUGGGUCUUACACUGACUGUAUAAAGAGGAGGGAAAGUAAAUAUACCCAUUAUAUACCUCAGUUCAGGCCUUGUGUCCUGGUCUUUAUUGUGAAUGGGAAGACAUGG
RNAcentral lists this small nucleolar RNA (130 nucleotides) under Castor canadensis (American beaver). RNAcentral's name for it is "Small nucleolar RNA SNORA51 (ENSCCNG00000002467.1)". It matches the Rfam family "Small nucleolar RNA SNORA51". Rfam says of the family: ACA51 is a member of the H/ACA class of snoRNA that guide the sites of modification of uridines to pseudouridines. The record is from Rfam by way of RNAcentral. Lineage: Eukaryota; Metazoa; Chordata; Mammalia; Rodentia; Castoridae.